AACGAACGCUGGCGGCGUGCUUAACACAUGCAAGUCGAGCGAGAAAGGGAGCUUCGGCUCCUGAGUAAAGCGGCGCACGGGUGAGUAACACGUGGGUAACCUGCCUUUCAGUGGGGGAUAACAGUCCGAAAGGGCUGCUAAUACCGCAUUCGUCCACGAGCACUCAUGUGGUUGUGGAGAAAGAGGCGCAAGUCUCGCUGGAAGAUGGGCCCGCGGUCCAUUAGCUAGUUGGUGGGGUAAAGGCCUACCAAGGCUUCGAUGGAUAGCUGGUCUGAGAGGAUGAUCAGCCACACUGGAACUGAGACACGGUCCAGACUCCUACGGGAGGCAGCAGUGGGGAAUAUUGCGCAAUGGGCGAAAGCCUGACGCAGCAACGCCGCGUGUGUGAUGAAGGCCUGG
This 399-nucleotide ribosomal RNA is filed under the name uncultured bacterium. RNAcentral's name for it is "bacterial SSU rRNA". It matches the Rfam family "Bacterial small subunit ribosomal RNA", at positions 29 to 419 of the family's 1533-position model. The record is from RNAcentral.